This 424-nucleotide ribosomal RNA is filed under the name uncultured Coprobacter sp. Its description in RNAcentral is "bacterial SSU rRNA". It matches the Rfam family "Bacterial small subunit ribosomal RNA", at positions 355 to 776 of the family's 1533-position model. Lineage: Bacteria; Pseudomonadati; Bacteroidota; Bacteroidia; Bacteroidales; Barnesiellaceae. The record is from RNAcentral.
UGAGGAAUAUUGGUCAAUGGGCGAAAGCCUGAACCAGCCAAGUCGCGUGGAGGAAGACGGCCCUACGGGUUGUAAACUUCUUUUACCUGGGAAUAACGGGCGCUACGUGUAGCGCUGUGCAUGUACCAGGCGAAUAAGCAUCGGCUAAUUCCGUGCCAGCAGCCGCGGUAAUACGGAAGAUGCGAGCGUUAUCCGGAUUUAUUGGGUUUAAAGGGUGCGUAGGCGGAAGGAUAAGUCAGCGGUGAAAUGCUUCAGCUCAACUGGAGAAUUGCCGAUGAAACUGUUUUUCUAGAGUAUAAAAGAGGUAUGCGGAAUGCGUGGUGUAGCGGUGAAAUGCAUAGAUAUCACGCAGAACCCCGAUUGCGAAGGCAGCAUACUGGGCUAUAACUGACGCUGAAGCACGAAAGCGUGGGUAUCGAACAGG